AUACGUAGGGAGCGAGCGUUGUCCGGAAUUACUGGGUGUAAAGGGAGCGUAGGCGGGAUGGCAAGUCAGAUGUGAAAACUAUGGGCUCAACCCAUAGACUGCAUUUGAAACUGUUGUUCUUGAGUGAAGUAGAGGUAAGCGGAAUUCCUGGUGUAGCGGUGAAAUGCGUAGAUAUCAGGAGGAACAUCGGUGGCGAAGGCGGCUUACUGGGCUUUUACUGACGCUGAGGCUCGAAAGCGUGGGGAGCAAACAGGAUUAGAUACCCUGGUAGUCCACGUUGUAAACGAUGAUUACUAGGUGUGGGGGGACUGACCCCUUCCGUGCCGCAGUUAACACAAUAAGUAAUCCACCUGGGGAGUACGGCCGCAAGGUUGAAACUCAAAUGAAUUGACGGGG
Molecule: ribosomal RNA, 396 nt
Filed under: uncultured bacterium
Lineage: Bacteria
Description: partial 16S ribosomal RNA
Rfam family: Bacterial small subunit ribosomal RNA
Source: RNAcentral